GCAUUAAUGGGGUAGUGGUAACCUGGGUCGUUGCCAUUCGAGUGUUGACUCGACCCGCCGGGAGUUCGAUUCUCUCUUAAUGCA
RNAcentral lists this transfer RNA (84 nucleotides) under Pholiota conissans. It matches the Rfam family "tRNA". From Rfam's summary of the family: Transfer RNA (tRNA) molecules are approximately 80 nucleotides in length. Their secondary structure includes four short double-helical elements and three loops (D, anti-codon, and T loops). The record is from Rfam by way of RNAcentral. Lineage: Eukaryota; Fungi; Basidiomycota; Agaricomycetes; Agaricales; Strophariaceae.